CAUCACCUCAAGUGGUCAGGAUGAUUAUUGGGCCUAAAGCAUCCGUAGCCGGCGCUGUAAGUUUUCGGUUAAAUCUGUACGCUCAACGUACAUGCUGCCGGGAAUACUGCAGCGCUAGGGAGUGGGAGAGGUAGACGGUACUCGGUAGGAAGGGGUAAAAUCCUUUGAUCUAUUGAUGACCACCUGUGGCGAAGGCGGUCUACCAGAACACGUCCGACGGUGAGGGAUGAAAGCUGGGGGAGCAAACCGGAUUAGAUACCCGAGUAGUCC
Molecule: ribosomal RNA, 270 nt
Filed under: uncultured archaeon
Lineage: Archaea
Description: partial 16S ribosomal RNA
Rfam family: Archaeal small subunit ribosomal RNA
Source: RNAcentral